AUUGAACGCUGGCGGCAGGCCUAACACAUGCAAGUCGAGCGGCAGCGACAUAAACAAUCCUUCGGGUGCGUUUAUGGGCGGCGAGCGGCGGACGGGUGAGUAAUGCCUGGGAAUAUGCCCUGAUGUGGGGGAUAACCAUUGGAAACGAUGGCUAAUACCGCAUAAUCUCUUCGGAGCAAAGAGGGGGACCUUCGGGCCUCUCGCGUCAGGAUUAGCCCAGGUGAGAUUAGCUAGUUGGUGAGGUAAGAGCUCACCAAGGCGACGAUCUCUAGCUGGUCUGAGAGGAUGAUCAGCCACACUGGAACUGAGACACGGUCCAGACUCCUACGGGAGCAGCAGUGGGGAAUAUUGCACAAUGGGGAAACCCUGAUGCAGCCAUGCCGCGUGUGUGAAGAAGGCCUUCGGGUUGUAAAGCACUUUCAGUUGUGAGGAAGGCAUAUACGUUAAUAGCGUAUGUGUUUUGACGUUUA
This 470-nucleotide ribosomal RNA is filed under the name uncultured bacterium. RNAcentral's name for it is "bacterial SSU rRNA". It matches the Rfam family "Bacterial small subunit ribosomal RNA", at positions 30 to 478 of the family's 1533-position model. The record is from RNAcentral.